Molecule: ribosomal RNA, 468 nt
Filed under: uncultured bacterium
Lineage: Bacteria
Description: partial 16S ribosomal RNA
Rfam family: Bacterial small subunit ribosomal RNA
Source: RNAcentral
GACGAACGCUGGCGGCGUGCUUAACACAUGCAAGUCGAACGGAAAGGCCCUGCUUUUGUGGGGUGCUCGAGUGGCGAACGGGUGAGUAACACGUGAGUAACCUGCCCUUGACUUUGGGAUAACUUCAGGAAACUGGGGCUAAUACCGGCUAGGAGCUCCUGCUGCAUGGUGGGGGUUGGAAAGUUUCGGCGGUUGGGGAUGGACUCGCGGCUUAUCAGCUUGUUGGUGGGGUAGUGGCUUACCAAGGCUUUGACGGGUAGCCGGCCUGAGAGGGUGACCGGCCACAUUGGGACUGAGAUACGGCCCAGACUCCUACGGGAGGCAGCAGGGGGGAAUAUUGCACAAUGGGCGGAAGCCUGAUGCAGCAACGCCGCGUGCGGGAUGACGGCCUUCGGGUUGUAAACCGCUUUCGCCUGUGACGAAGCGUGAGUGACGGUAAUGGGUAAAGAAGCACCGGCUAACUACGUG